Molecule: long non-coding RNA, 391 nt
Filed under: Populus tremula
Lineage: Eukaryota; Viridiplantae; Streptophyta; Magnoliopsida; Malpighiales; Salicaceae
Description: long non-coding RNA (PTRE_LNC000446)
Source: RNAcentral
AUCAGAACCGAAAUUAAUCAUUGAAAAAGAUAGAAAAACUGUAACUUAACCCCAAUGGCUUUAUUUUUAAGGAAUAGCAUCGCUCCCUUCACUUAGUACAAACAAGAAAUCAAGACACGAACAUUCAGUUGUUCAAAACCAGCAUUUGUUGCACAUUACAUUAACCGAAAUUAAUCAUGGAAAAAGAUAGAAAAACUGAAACUUAACCCCAAUGGCUUUGUUUUUAAGGAAUAGCAGCGCUCCCUUCACGUAGCACAAACAAGAAAUCAAGACACGAACAUUCAGUGGUUCAAAACCAGCAUUUAUUGCACAUUACAUUACUUAUUCCCAUGAUAUAACCCGGCCGAAGUUAUCACUCCUGACCAUUUAGUAGAGAAAGUGGUCUAUCACC